RNAcentral lists this ribosomal RNA (376 nucleotides) under uncultured bacterium. RNAcentral describes it as "bacterial SSU rRNA". It matches the Rfam family "Bacterial small subunit ribosomal RNA", at positions 524 to 898 of the family's 1533-position model. The record is from RNAcentral.
GACAGAGGGUGCAAACGUUGCUCGGAAUUACUGGGCGUAAAGCGCGUGUAGGCGGGCUGAUAAGUCGGACGUGAAAUCCCUGAGCUCAACUCAGGAACUGCAUUCGAAACUGUCAGUCUGGAGUAGUGGAGAGGAAAGCAGAAUUCCUGGUGUAGAGGUGAAAUUCGUAGAUAUCAGGAGGAACACCGGUGGCGAAGGCGGCUUUCUGGACACUUACUGACGCUGAGACGCGAAAGCGUGGGGAGCAAACAGGAUUAGAUACCCUGGUAGUCCACGCCGUAAACGAUGAGUGCUGGGUGUCGUGGGUUUUGACCCCCGCGGUGCCGUAGCUAACGCGUUAAGCACUCCGCCUGGGGAGUACGGCCGCAAGGCUAAA